Molecule: non-coding RNA, 141 nt
Filed under: Calothrix sp.
Lineage: Bacteria; Bacillati; Cyanobacteriota; Cyanophyceae; Nostocales; Calotrichaceae
Source: RNAcentral
GAUUAAUCUAGCUUAUUCGGUUCAAAAAGGCACCAGCCAUAAGAGGAAACGGGGAAAGCUCGGUGAAAUUCCAGCACUGUCCCGCAACUGUAAGCUAUAAAUGUAGCAAGUCAGAAUGCCCGCCGAAAGCAGUAAAAAUAG